This 75-nucleotide transfer RNA is filed under the name Tenericutes bacterium HGW-Tenericutes-4. RNAcentral's name for it is "tRNA-Gln". It matches the Rfam family "tRNA". Rfam says of the family: Transfer RNA (tRNA) molecules are approximately 80 nucleotides in length. Their secondary structure includes four short double-helical elements and three loops (D, anti-codon, and T loops). Further hydrogen bonds mediate the characteristic L-shaped molecular structure. tRNAs have two regions of fundamental functional importance: the anti-codon, which is responsible for specific mRNA codon recognition, and the 3' end, to which the tRNAs corresponding amino acid is attached (by aminoacyl-tRNA synthetases). tRNAs cope with the degeneracy of the genetic code in two manners: having more than one tRNA (with a specific anti-codon) for a particular amino acid; and 'wobble' base-pairing, i.e. permitting non-standard base-pairing at the 3rd anti-codon position. Lineage: Bacteria; Bacillati; Mycoplasmatota. The record is from RNAcentral.
UGGGGUGUCGCCAAGCGGUAAGGCACGGGACUUUGACUCCCGCAUUCGUAAGUUCAAAUCUUGCCACCCCAACCA